This 4161-nucleotide unclassified non-coding RNA is filed under the name Portunus trituberculatus (swimming crab). Its description in RNAcentral is "putative tRNA (cytidine(32)/guanosine(34)-2'-O)- methyltransferase, transcript variant X2". The record is from RNAcentral. Lineage: Eukaryota; Metazoa; Arthropoda; Malacostraca; Decapoda; Portunidae.
GAGCCCUCAGACUUCUUAAAGCUUUAAACUUUAUCUAUGACCAGUUUGGUGAGGCCAAAGGUGUUCGUGAGACAUGACACGACCGUGCACCUGGGCCGGGACAGGAAGACUUUGUGUUACUGCAAGUAAGAGACACCUUCAUAACCUUUCUCUGGUCGUGCUCCUUGACGAAUUCAGCCCGCCUCGUGGAUCAGUGGGUUGCUGAUCGCUUGCGCGAUGACAACACAGCCGCCCUACCUUAUACACACAGGCCAAAGAGAAAGUGGUAUGUGGUCAGUGAUGAUGACUCAAAGGGAAAGGGUGCUGUGGUUAACCCUUCCCUCGCUCACUUCCUGCCCAGAAAUGCGUCAGAUAUCCGCCCUAACAUGUCUGCCACCGACUUACUCUACUUAGAGGAAGCAGUAUGUGGCAUAAGAGAAGUGCAGAACUUCUAGUUCUGGAUGUUUGGGGUCAGUCUCAAGACUGGUUAAACUGGGAGAUUCUGUACCUAAUAAGGAUACCUUGAUGGCACAAGCAGUCUCUAGCAUGCAACAGGCUAUGCAGACUGCUUUUAAAGAGACCACUACAGUUUUGGCUAACCUAUUGACCUUCAGGAGACAAGCUGUGUUAAGGAAUCUCCCCUCUUCAUUCUUCAUUUCGGAUAAACAUAUCCUCAUGCAGUCACUAGUGGACUCCGCUUUCCUGUUUGAGGAUGACAAGGUGAACUAGGCUAGGAAGAAUGCUGAUGCCUUCUCUACCAAAUCCUUUCACGAAGUUGCCGCUGCAGCACUCAAGAAGAGGCCUCAGCAGGUUGAGUCACCUCUGGUCAGACCUCUGGCGACUAAACCCUCUACGUCUGGGUACAGGCAACCACGAAGGCAGGCCUAUCCUUUUAAGAAGCCAGAACGUCCUGUCUUGUCUUCUUAUCCACACAUGGACCAUAAUUCUUUGGCCCAAGGCAAGAAGGGUUUUCGAAAGUAGGAGGCUCUUCCCUUGACCUCUCAGGUAACGGCAUACCUUUCACAGAGUUGGGAAAAGUGGCUAGAGAAGGGAGCUGAACCAUGGAUAGUGGAUGUCCUCAGAGACGGUUACCACAUCCCCUUUGUCAGUCAACCUCUACUUUCAAGGUUCCCAAUACAAUUUGGGAGUUAUUCUCUCAACUCGGUGAAAGGCAAGGCUUUAGAACAGGAGAUACAAUCCCUUAUACAAAAAGGAGCGAUAGAACAGGCAACCGUUGGCCUAGGGUUCUACAGCAGAGUCUUCGUGGUGCCCAAACUUAUAGGUGGGUUUCGCCCCAUUAUUGAUCUCUCCACCCUCAACCAGUACAUCCGCAAAACCAGAUUCUGGAUGGAGACAAGUGCAUCGGUGAUGUCGGCCAUCCGAAAGGAGGACUGGAUGCUGUCAGUCGACCUGCGGGAUGCCUACCUCCAGAUUCCCAUCCAUCAGGGGAGCAGGAAGUACCUUCGAUUCACUUGGUGGGGCCAAGUUUUCCAGUUCAGAACUCUCUGCUUUGGACUGUCGACGGCACCUCAGGUCUUCAUGAGAGUGAUGGCUCUGGUUUCAGUGGAUUUACACCAACAAGGGAUUCGUUUGAUCCGCUACUUAGACGACUGGUUACUUCUCUCCACCACCAGUCAGGGAGCAAUGAGGUCAAGGGAGAUGCUCCUAGAUUUGUGCGACACUCUCAAUAUCUAGAUAAAUUGGGAGAAGUCAGAUCUCGAACCCAAACAGGUCAUAACCUUUUUAGGAAUGGACAUCCAUUCAACGAUUUUGAAGGUUUUCCCAGCACAAAGACGAAUUCUCAAUUUGCUGGAGUCUAUACGAGGUUUCAAGACUCAGCCACAGCCCUCAGCACAAGUAUGGCUAGUACUUCUUGGCCACCUCUCGUCGCUAUCCCACCUAGUUCCAGGAGGACGACGCAGGAUGAGGAGCCUCCAGUUUCAGCUUGCCAAUCACUGGGACAGGAGGGACAGCAGCUCCCAUCAGGUACGAGUACUUAUGUCUCGGGAGGUUCUAGACGACCUUCAGUGGUGGUCAGACCCUGCGAACUUGCUUCAAGGUCAGUCACUGGAGGUGUGGAACGCAGAACUACUUCUGUUCACGGAUGCUUCAUUAGAAGGCUGUGGAGCAUCUAUUCUGGAUGAUGAGGCAUGUGGCGUUUGGUCACCUCCCGAACAACAAGAGCACAUAACUCUCCUGGAACUGAGAGCGAUAUGUCUUGGGCUUCAGGCAUUCGAGGAUGUAUUGCAAGGACGAACGAUAGCAGUCGUGUCAGACAACACCACAGCAGUGUCGUACAUCAAGAAAGCAGGAGGGACACGGUCAGCCAAGCUCAACCACAAAGCCCAACUGACCUUGCAGUGGGCAGAGGACAAUGCAGUGACCCUUCUUACUCAGUUCGUGAGAGGGGAGAACAACGUGGUAGUGGAUUGCCUCAACAGGAGGAACCAGGUUAUUUCCACAGAGUGGAUGCUGCAUCAGCAGGUGUGCGACAACCUGUGGAGACUCUGGGGUUGUCCGAUGGUGGACCUGUUCGUCACACAGAUGAAUUACAGGCUAGCCAAUUUCGUAUCACCAUUUCCUGACCCGAUGGCGAUAGCAACGGAUGCCUUUCUCUUUCCUUGGGAACACAAGGAACUGUAUGUGUUUCCCCCUUUCCAUGUCAUCAGGAAGGUGAUAAACAAGCUCCGCAGUUCAGAGGGAGUCAAGCUUACACUAGUGGCCCCAUUCUGGCCUCAGAGGGAAUGGUUUACGGAUCUAGUGGAACUCUCCAUCGACACGCCAAGGAAGCUCCCCAUCAGGAAGGACCUGCUACGUCAACCUCACUUCCACAGGUUUCACCACGAUCUCCACGUGCUGCAGCUAGUAGGGUGGAGACUAUCGAGCGUCUUCUCCGGUACAGAGGAUAUUCCAGGAGAGUGGCGAAGGCAGUGGCAAAGGCUAGACGACCUUCCACUACUUUGAAUUACCAACAUAAGUCGAAGAGGUUUUGGCAAUGGUGUCACAACACAGGCCGUUCAUUCUCCUGCCCCUCCAGCCAGAAGCUCGCAGACUUUCUCCUAUACUUACACGAGUCUUGUCACCUUUCUGUCUCAGCUAUUAAAGGCUAUAAAGCCAUGCUGAAUAGUGUUUUCUCCCUAAAAGGCUUCAACCUGACAGAGGACCCAGUUUUGAAGAACCUUAUUAAAUCCUUUGAAACACAAGUUCCAAAAAGGGUAGUAAGACCGCCACUAUGGAACCUGGAUGUAGUGCUAAAGGCACUGUCGCUGGCUCCCUUCGAACCUCUCAGAGCCUUUUCGUUCAGAGAUCUUACGAAGAAGACUCUUUUCCUUGUCUUGCUACCAUCGACUAAGAGGGUCGGUGAGUUACAAGCCUUGUCAUACAAGCUUACUCAGCAAGGCAAAGACAUCAUCCUGUCUUAUCUUCCAGAAUUUGUCGCAGAGACAGAAACAUCCAGCAAUCCUCUUCCUAGGGAAUUCAGGAUAAAAAAUUUGGCAGUGGCCGUGUGCCCUGAUGAUGAAGAACGCCUUCUGUGCCCAGUUCAGGCUCUGCUUAUCUUUAGGGAAAGGAUGGGGAACGUGGCAAGAAGACCUAGAAACCUCUUUGACCUGUUUGUCUCUCCUGCAGACAAAUUAAAACCACUUUCAAAGAAUGCUUUGGCCUAUCUCCUGAGAGAAACUAUUCUGCAGGCCCACCGCUCACUGCCCGAGAACCUACUGAUGCCUCUGAGAGUGAGAGCACAUGAUAUUUGAGGGAUUGCCACCUCCCUUAAUUUAUGGAGGAAUAAAUCAGUGGAGGCUGUUCUCAAUGCAGCUUCCUGGAGGACACCUUCCAUCUUUGCAAAACAUUAUCUUCACGACGCCGAGCGUUCAGAUGGAGACACCUUUUUUCUCGGCCCGAUAGUCGCAGCAGGUGGCAUUGUGAUAUGAGCACUAUCUUAAGGUGGCAUGCUAUGCCUCGCUAUGCUUCACCAGAGCUUUGUGGGGGAGAGCACACUGUCUUAGCCUUGCCUUGCUCCUCUUCCUUUGCUCCAAGUCUGGAUUGACAGGCCUACAUGAUCUUGAUGAGUAUGUGCAAGCACAGUUGCUGUUGGCUGCCCUCAACAUAACCACCCAUGUCUUGGUGGAAGGUGGCACAUUUGUAGCCAAGAUCUUCCGUGGCAAGGAUGUCACUCUCCUCUAU